Molecule: long non-coding RNA, 5662 nt
Filed under: Homo sapiens (human)
Lineage: Eukaryota; Metazoa; Chordata; Mammalia; Primates; Hominidae
Description: HSALNT0154335
Source: RNAcentral
CGUUUCAUCAGCCGAGCGCCCCCCCGGGACGCCGGAAGGAGCCUCCGCGCGGAGCCGACCACGUGCACGGCAUCUUGGGGCACGGGUUCCCGCCGUCUCCCCACUGUAAAGGAGCGGCUUACUCCAGAGGUCCAGCCCCCUCACACACAAUCACGGAACCCGUGGAUGAGGCAGUAUUUGAGACCAGAAGUUUAUUGGGGACUUGGGUUUGGUUUUUGUUUGGUUGGUUUUGUCGUUGUUUUUAGAGUCGGGGGUUUCGCUGUGUUGCCCAGGCUGCUAUCGGACUCCUGACCUCAAGCGAUCCUCUUGCUUGGCCUCCCAAAGUGUUGGGAUUACAGGCGUGAGCCACCGCACCUGGCCGGGGACUUGUUUCUAAUGGAAAAUUGUGUAUGUGCUGUAUUGUUAAGAGCAUUGGUUUGGGGUCAGACUAGGCUGUGAUUCGGGUCUCUCCACUUCUUAUUAUCGUCUUUGGUAAAUUAUUUAACCUCUUUGUGCCUUCGUUUUCUGUAAAAAGCAGAUAAUUAUAGCUACUUCAUGAGGUCGUGUGAAGAUUUAAUGAGAUAGUGUGUGUGAAAUGUUCACAGCUACCAGACACAUACUCACUCGUGUUCCCAAUUGCUAUACUCACAAGGGCUCACUCCCAUCGCCAUCCUUCGUAAUUUCAAAGGGUCUACGGUUAAAAAUAUUCCAAAUUGUUGGGAAACUCUCAGACCCCAGAACUUAGCUGGCUGCAUGCUCGGCCAGCCCUCAGAGACAGCAUGAUUGGAGGCAGGAGCAGGAAUUGGCAACCUGAGAAGUAGAUACCACCCAGGCACCCUCAUUCACAAGGAUCCAGGUAGUGGGCUACUAAAAAUGAAGUUCAUUCAUUUAUUUAUCCACAAAUGGACAUUCAGUACCUGCUAAGGGACAGGCAUUGUACUGAGCAAGAGUGAACAAUACACACCAGGUCCCUAUUUAGUGUGCCUGAUUUCCAAACAAAACAAAAACAAAAAACAAUUUAGACGCGUGGGAGCAAGAGCCUCAAGAGAUAUUGAAGCUUUACUCACUGAUGAUAGGAUAUUAAAAGGGAUCCUGCAACAGGUGUGUGGCCUGAUCACCAUCUAUCUAAACCCUACCUCUCCAACAAGGUUGCCCUCCUCCAUGAAGCCAGAUGUGGUCCCCCUGCCCUUUCUGCCAGGCUGCCUUUACUCUUCAUUCUCACUGCUGGUCACUCCAGCGUGAACUUAGUGCUGACACAUCAAUCUCCUAUACCAGGGAGGCACAGAAGACAGGGGCCUUUGGAGCUGGCCCACCAGGCUCUACCACUUACUGGCAUGUGGCAUUGGCAGGCAGCUCAGCUCACUCUCUGAGUUUCAAUACCCUCAUUUAUGAAAGGCAGAUAACUGCUAAUCUGGGAGAUUGCAAGAAUUAAUUGAAGUGAUGAAAUGCUUAGAAGAAAAUGCUCAGUAAAAGUGUGGUGCAUUCUUGGACAACGAGGUAUCAUGUGUUUGCAUCUCUGAAAUGUCACCAGUGUUCAGUCCUGGCAUAGCAAGGAGGAGUGGGUGCUCAUGUAGAAUGGAGAAAGGACAAUAGAAUCCAGUGAAAGUAGGGUGAAAUCCAGUCAGGUGUGCUGGAAAGCAGACUUCAGUAGUGAUCAUCUUGAAUCCACAAGGUCCUUGUGGUGGGCCCAAGCCUCUCCCCACCCACAGCCUACCCUGGACUAAUCUUUACUCACUCUCUCCCAACACGUAAAAACCCUAUGCUCCAAAAAUACAGAGCAUCUCUCAUUUCCUCCUAUAACCCUCUCCCCCUGUUCUCUCACUUCUAGUUCUCAGUGGUUGCCAUUCUCUCCCAUCUGGAAAGUUGUCUCCAAACCCCAGCCCCAUCGUUCUACCUGACGAACCAACUCAUUCUCGGGUUUCAGCUGAAAGGGCCCUUCUUCUGGGAGCCCUGCCCUGUCCUGGGCCUAGGCCAGUUCCCCAUUCUCAUAGUUCAUUCUCAUAGUUACUCUUGUUUGUUUGUUUCUGGCUUUGUGUGUUUUUAUUUUUUGAGACAGGGUCUCACUCUGUCACCCAGGCUGGAGUACAGCAGCGCGAUCUUGGCUCACUGCAGCCCCGACCUCCUAGGCUCAAGUGAUCCUCCCACCUCAGCCUCCCAAGUAUCUGGGACUACAGGCAUGCACCACCAUUCCCGGCUAAUUUUUUAUUUUUAGUAGAGACAGGGUUUUACCAUGUUGCCCAAGCUGGUCUCGAACUCUUGAGCUCAAGCAAUACACCUGCCUCGGCCUCCCAAAGUGCUGGGAUUACAGGUGUAAGCCACUGCGUCCAGCCCUACUCUUGCUUAACCUACACUCAUCCCAUACCCAUCACAUGGUAUUGUCAUUGUUCAGUGUCCCCUUUCCCAAAAAGAGAGUAAGCCUUUUGGGCAUAGGGCUGUUUCUACCCAUGUUCAUAGCUAUCCCCCUGCCCCUAACCCUGUCCUCAGUAAUUGUUAAAUGCAUAUGAAGUAGUGAAUGAAUAAAUAUGAAUGAAAUCAUCAGGGCCUCAACUAUAGAUAAAUCCAAAUAACCACAAACCCCAGCCAAAGCCACCCUUACUCAGCAGUUGCUCCAUCUGUCCUGUUGUGUCUGUAAGGGUUACAGACCCAGGGCUGAGGGCUAGCUGCCAACACUGUUUGAUAACUUGGAUGAAGUAAGAGAAUGAACUUUUUUCCAGCCUGGCAGAACCUUAGUGUUGCAGCAGAUGGUACUGAGAGAACCUCAGAACUGCUGGAUGAGUAAGUGAAAAGGCAAAGAUCAAAAGAUCAAAACUUACAUCUUGGUGUUUUUUGGUUUUUUUUUUUUUCUUUUGGAGCUCAUGUGCCAGUUAUAGAUUCACUAACUUCCUAAACUUUUCAUGGAGACAUACUACUUGGAACAUUGCCAUGGCCUGAACAAAUUGAACCAAAGAAUGCAGUAUUAGUAAUUCAGGCUGGGAACUCAGACAGACCUGGGUUUAAAUCCAGACUUCACCACAAAUUGGCUCUGUGACCCUGUAGCCUCAGUUUCCUAAUCUGCAAAAUAGAAAUGAUAAUACCUACCUCAUAGAGAUGGUAGGAAAAUUAGAUUAUGUAUAUAGAGUACCUUGAAUGCCACCUGGUAUAAAGUUGAUGUUAAUAAAUGUGAGCUAUUUUAGAAAUUAUUUCCGAAAGUGUGUCCCACAGAAUGUUCCGUUGCUAGUGGCUCCAUUACAUUGAUUUCAGCUCCCGGAAGUCACAUCCUCAAAUGACGGACUCCACUAUGGGAGAGGUAGACUAACUGUACGUGAGAGCUUGGGACUAAAUACAUAGCUGUGCUUGGCAGGAGGUGUGCUGGAAGUCAGACAGAUCACAUGCUGUUUGUCAGGAAACCGGGCCUAAGUCAGAAGAAAAAAUCCUCUGAAUUCCUAUCAGGAAGGCCAGCAAUCCCCCCGGGGCAGAUAGGGGUCAGGGAUCUGUUUCUACACUAUGAACAGAAAGACAAGUGCCAGGGUCAGAAGAGUCAGAAGAGGGAGAACUCCCCUCUAGCGGCUGUGGAGAAGAGGCAAGGGCAGUUGAAGGCAAUUGGGCUUUUUUAACUAGGUAACUAGACUAUCGGUCUUUUCAUCUUUAAAAACCACCUAAGAUAAUUGUAGACAACCCAGUCAUGCUCUCUGAACAACCAGCCUUGUUUCUCUCCUAAACUUAUCAUCAACAGUAGCAUCUAGAAUGCUGCCAUCCUGCUUUGUAAGUUAUUUUCUUUUCUUUUUUGUUUUUUGAUACAGGAUCUCAACUUUGUUACCCAGGCAGGAGUGCAGUGGCACAAUCUUGGCUCACUGCAACCUCUGCAUCCCAGGUUCAAGCGAUCCUCCUGCUUUAGCCCCCACAAGUAGCUGAGACUAUAGGCAGCGCCACCACCAUAUCCAACUAAUUUUUUUCUUUUGUAUUUUUUGUAGAGACAGGGUUUCCCCCUGUUGCCCAGUCUGGCAUCGAUCACCUAAGCUCAAGCGAUCCACCCAUCUUGGCCUCCCAAAAUGCUAGGAUUAUAGGUGUCAGCCACUGCACCCGGCCCUGACCCAGGAGCCAGUGGCAUCUGAAAUUUUUUUAAAAGCCAGAGAAGAUCUAUGUUGACCUGAUGAUCUUUCACCUUCUAGAUCUCCCUGAACCACUGGCCAAAUCUUUCAAUAAAGAAUGUGCUUAACCUGCCUCUUAAGACCCAUGUAUUUGCACAAGAAGGAAAAAAAAAACCAGAAAAAAAAGCAAAACUAGAGCUGCCUGCCUGUGCUGAAGCUUUUUCAGUAAUUUCAGAGCCACUGAAGUGAUGUGAGAUCAGUUGACAAGAGAAAAACACUCUGAGAUCUGCCAGAAUGACCCUCAAGGGGAGAAAAAUAAUUAAACAGGUGGAAAAACAAGGAACACGCAAGACUGAUCAAAGCGUUUCUUUUCUGUUGAACAGCUUUUGCUGACUUCUGGUACCAUCAGUUUUCUUGAGUACAAUAAAGACCAACAAAUGCAGAAUGUUAGUUACGGGCCUUACUCAAUCAGGCUCAAAGGCUUUACUGGGGUUACAGGAAGCCAAGUACCCAGUCCACUAAUGUCCUGGGAGAAAAGCCUGAAGGCAGAGCAUGGUAGGUUUUCUCUUGCAGCCUGCAGGCUGAUCUGAUGGGACUUCAAUUCUGUCACUUCCUUGCUCUGUGACAUUGAACAUUCUGUAAGCCUCUGGGCCUCAGCUUUCUCAUCCAUGGAAGUGGGAUUACAGUGUCUAACCUGCAGGGCUGCUGUGUGUUUAUAUAUGUGCAUAGAACAUAAUGGCCUUCCCUUGAUAGAAGCAGAGAUUGGACAUGUGGCCUCUGACAAGUUACUUUUUUUUUUCUACAAGUUUCCCUCUCCUCUCCCCCAUUCAGAAAGUGGAAGGGGUAAUUCUUCAGGGAAUUUGUGAGAUGUUACCACAAGGUUACACAAUGGCUUGCUGUAAACUAUUUUAUGUCUUUUUUUUUUUUUUUUUUUUGAGACGGAGUCUUGCUCUGUCACUCAGGCUGGAGUGCAGUGGUGCGAUCUCGAUCUCAGCUCACUGCAACCUCCAACUCCCAGGCUCAAGCGAUUCUCAUGCCUCAGCAUCCUGAGUAGCUGGGACUACAGGUGCACACCACCACGCCCCAGUAAAUUUUUUGUAUUUUCAGUAGAGACAGGGUUUCGCUAUGUUGGCCAGGCUCGUCUCGAACUCCUGGCCUCAAAUGAUCCACCAGCCUCGGCCUCCCAAAGUGCUGGGAUUACAGGUGUGAGCCAUAUUUUAUGCCUUUUAUCAGGGCAUCCUCUGUAGGUUUACAUGACAUAAAAUUGCCCAGAGGGCAACUGAAGAGCAUCACUCUACAAUUUGGGAGAGGUAAAGGGAAAAGAAUCAGAUGGGUAAGAUACAUAAAAGGUAUAUAGCUAUGAAGUUGUUCAAUACUCAGUACACACCGUGGUUAAACACAGAUGCAAAAGCCGGAUUGCAAGUUUGAAUCUUGGCUCCAUCACUGCACAUCCUUGGGCUGGUUCCUUAACCUCUCUCAGUCUCAUAUCCCAUAAAAAAAAAAAAAGAAUUAAAUUAGUCAAUAUAAAUGUAAAAGUUCUUACAACUAGCUGGCACAUAGAAAGCUGUUAGCAGGCAGGGCAUGGUGGCUCACAUCCAUAAUCCCAGCACUUUGGG